RNAcentral lists this ribosomal RNA (443 nucleotides) under uncultured bacterium. RNAcentral describes it as "partial 16S ribosomal RNA". It matches the Rfam family "Bacterial small subunit ribosomal RNA", at positions 338 to 795 of the family's 1533-position model. The record is from RNAcentral.
CCUACGUGAGGCAGCAGUGGGGAAUAUUGGGCAAUGGGCGCACGCCUGACCCAGCAACGCCGCGUGAAGGAAGAAGGCUUUCGGGUUGUAAACUUCUUUUCUCAGGGACGAAGAAAGUGACGGUACCUGAGGAAUAAGCCACGGCUAACUACGUGCCAGCAGCCGCGGUAAUACGUAGGUGGCACGAGUUAUCCGGAUUUAUUGGGUGUAAAGGGCGUGUAGGCGGGAGCGCAAGUCAGAUGUGAAAACUCAGGGCUCAACCCUGAGCCUGCAUUUGAAACUGUGUUUCUUGAGUGCUGGAGAGGCAAUCGGAAUUCCGUGUGUAGCGGUGAAAUGCGUAGAGAUACGGAGGAACACCAGUGGCGAAGGCGGAUUGCUGGACAGUAACUGACGCUGAGGCGCGAAAGCGUGGGGAGCAAACAGGAUUAGAUACCCCUGUAGUC